RNAcentral lists this ribosomal RNA (253 nucleotides) under uncultured bacterium. RNAcentral describes it as "partial 16S ribosomal RNA". It matches the Rfam family "Bacterial small subunit ribosomal RNA", at positions 524 to 776 of the family's 1533-position model. The record is from RNAcentral.
UACGAAGGGGGCUAGCGUUGCUCGGAAUCACUGGGCGUAAAGGGCGCGUAGGCGGCCAUUCAAGUCGGGGGUGAAAGCCUGUGGCUCGACCACAGAAUUGCCUUCGAUACUGUUUGGCUUGAGUUUGGUAGAGGUUGGUGGAACUGCGAGUGUAGAGGUGAAAUUCGUAGAUAUUCGCAAGAACACCAGUGGCGAAGGCGGCCAACUGGACCAACACUGACGCUGAGGCGCGAAAGCGUGGGGAGCAAACAGG